GGGGGGACCAUCCUCCAAGGCUAAAUACUACUGACUGACCGAUAGUGAACCAGUACCGUGAGGGAAAGGCGAAAAGAACCCCUGUGAGGGGAGUGAAAUAGAACCUGAAACCGUGUACGUACAAGCAGUAGGAGCAGGCUUGUCCUGUGACUGCGUACCUUUUGUAUAAUGGGUCAGCGACUUAUAUUCAGUGGCAAGGUUAACCAUCUAGGGGAGCCGUAGGGAAACCGAGUCUUAACUGGGCGUUCAGUCUCUGGAUAUAGACCCGAAACCAGGUGAUCUAGCCAUGGGCAGGUUGAAGGUUGAGUAACAUCAACUGGAGGACCGAACCGACUAAUGUUGAAAAAUUAGCGGAUGACUUGUGGCUAGGGGUGAAAGGCCAAUCAAACCUGGAGAUAGCUGGUUCUCCCCGAAAGCUAUUUAGGUAGCGCCUCGGACGAAUACUACUGGGGGUAGAGCACUGUUAAGGCUAGGGGGUCAUCCCGACUUACCAACCCUUUGCAAACUCCGAAUACCAGUAAGUACUAUCCGGGAGACACACGGCGGGUGCUAACGUCCGUCGUGGAGAGGGAAACAACCCAGACCGCCAGCUAAGGUCCCAAA
Molecule: ribosomal RNA, 603 nt
Filed under: Vibrio parahaemolyticus
Lineage: Bacteria; Pseudomonadati; Pseudomonadota; Gammaproteobacteria; Vibrionales; Vibrionaceae
Description: partial 23S ribosomal RNA
Rfam family: Bacterial large subunit ribosomal RNA
Source: RNAcentral